AUCCCAUGAUGAGGACAGGCGUGAAUGUACUCCUAGAGAUGUUCCUAUGCUUUGAGAAUCGUCUCAUCAGCUUCUUGUUGGAAGCUAGAGAUCUUUCCACGAAGGGC
This 107-nucleotide small nucleolar RNA is filed under the name Sorghum bicolor (sorghum). RNAcentral's name for it is "Plant small nucleolar RNA R71". It matches the Rfam family "Plant small nucleolar RNA R71". Rfam says of the family: R71 is a member of the C/D box family of snoRNAs containing the C (UGAUGA) and D (CUGA) box motifs. The record is from Rfam by way of RNAcentral. Lineage: Eukaryota; Viridiplantae; Streptophyta; Magnoliopsida; Poales; Poaceae.